RNAcentral lists this ribosomal RNA (505 nucleotides) under uncultured bacterium. RNAcentral describes it as "bacterial SSU rRNA". It matches the Rfam family "Bacterial small subunit ribosomal RNA", at positions 19 to 518 of the family's 1533-position model. The record is from RNAcentral.
CUGGCUCAGGACGAACGCUGGCGGCGUGCUUAACACAUGCAAGUCGAACGAGGAUAUGCCAGAGGAGAGCUUCGGCAGGAAUCAGGCAUAUUCGAGUGGCGGACGGGUGAGUAACGCGUGAGCAACCUGUCCCAGACAGGGGGAUAACACUUGGAAACAGGUGCUAAUACCGCAUAAGACCACGGUAUCACAUGGUAGUGGGGUAAAAGGAGCAAUCCGGUUUGGGGUGGGCUCGCGUCCGAUUAGAUAGUUGGUGAGGUAACGGCCCACCAAGUCGACGAUCGGUAGCCGACCUGAGAGGGUGAUCGGCCACAUUGGAACUGAGAGACGGUCCAAACUCCUAUGGGAGGCAGCAGUGGGGAAUAUUGGGCAAUGGGCGAAAGCCUGACCCAGCAACGCCGCGUGAGUGAAGAAGGCCUUCGGGUUGUAAAGCUCUGUUAUAGUUGACGAAGGAAGUGACGGUAGGCUAUAAGGAAGCCCCGGCUAACUACGUGCCAGCCGCCGC